This is a long non-coding RNA of Sinocyclocheilus anshuiensis, 262 nucleotides long. RefSeq lists it as uncharacterized. The transcript is spliced from 3 exons. The record is from RefSeq and is a predicted model, not a curated record. Lineage: Eukaryota; Metazoa; Chordata; Actinopteri; Cypriniformes; Cyprinidae.
UUUGUGUUUGAUUAAAUGUUUCCCGUCAGUGGACAUCUGGUCAGUCGGAUGCAUCAUGGCAGAGAUGCUGCUAGGGAAACCACUGUUCAAAGGAAAUGACCACCUGGAUCAGCUGAUGGAGAUCAUGAAGAUUACAGGGACGCCCACAAAAGAGUUCACGGCCAAACUACAGUCUGAAGAUGCUAGACACUACAUAACAAAGUUACCAAAAUUUAGAAAGAAAGAUCUUCGGACAUUGUUACCAAAUGUUAACCCACAAGGU